RNAcentral lists this non-coding RNA (715 nucleotides) under Amblyomma geoemydae. Lineage: Eukaryota; Metazoa; Arthropoda; Arachnida; Ixodida; Ixodidae. The record is from RNAcentral.
AAAUUAGGUUUGGUUUAUCAAUAAAUAAUUCUUUUAAAUUUUUUAUAAAUUAUUUAAAAAAUAUAAAUUAGAAAAUAAAAUUUAUUUAAUAAUUAAAAGUUAUUGAAAUUUAAUAAAAAACUUAGCUAAUUUUGUGCCAGCAGCAGCGGUUAAACAAAAAAGUUUUUUAUUCAAUAAAUUUUUUUAAAAAACAUAUAAAAAUAUAUGUUUAAAAAAAGGUGAAAUUUUUUUAAACUUAUAUUAUUUUUUGAAUAAAAAACUCAAUUUAUAUGACAAGGAUUAGAUACCCUUUUAUUAAUGAGCUAAAAAUUGUUAGUAAAUAAUAUUUAUGAAAACAAAAAAUUGUGGCGGUACUUUAAGCUUUUCAGAGGAAUUUGCUCUUUAAUGGAUAAAACGCCCUAAUCUUACUAGUAUUAGUUAAUUCAGUUUGUAUACCACUAUUAAAGUUAUAAUUAAUUAAUAUUACUUUAAUUUUUAAAAAUUAAUUUUAAAAAAAAUUUUAAGUCAUGGUGCAGCUAAAAUACUAGAAUGAAGUGAAUUACAAUUUUUUUAAAAAAAAGAAUUUGUAUAAGAAUUAUAUAAAAAUUUAUAGGAUUUGAAAGUAAAAAUUCAAUAGAAUGGUAUUUUGAAUUAAGCUCUGAAGUAUGUACAUAUCGCCCGUCGCUCUUUUUCAAAAGAUAAGUCGUAACAAAGUUAAAAUACUGGAAAGUGUUUU